UAAUGAGCUCCAUGCUGGGGCAGGGAGGUUGUUGAGCUUAUUGCCAAGAUAAGGCCUUGGUCUGGGGGAAGAAUAGAGCAAAGAAGCAGAGUGGAGUUUAUGUGCUUGAUAAUCAACUGACACCUUAUUUCUGUGUGUGUGAAAGGAGCACUGAGGAGGCAGGAGAGAGAAGAAGAGGGGAUGUAGGAAAGGAUGAGUAGGAACGGGAAGUGGAUCUUUCCAGUGUCUCCUUAAAUAUCUCUUGUAUAAGUUUCAGGUUAAUAUAAUCUCAGAUGCAUCCUUCCACCAUAGAAUUCCAAACUCCACUUGGAAAAUAAAAAUGAUUAUGAAGCAGGUGGUAAAUCUGACUGCCUAAUUCCCAUGGGGACACAAUUAACUGCUUUUGGAAAUCCAAACGCUCUAUGUCUAGUUCAGAAGGAUUCUCUCCACUAUGAAAGACCAUGUCAAACUCAACCCAUGACCAGUCUGCUGAAUGCAAGUUCUUCCUGCUAGGAAACAUCUUUUUAGACUUCAUGGUUGUGAACAUGACUUUUAAAUAAGCCCAUGCUUACAGUAUAACAACUGAGUAAGGGGACUUGGUUUCACUAUUGUUGCAAUUGGUAGCAUAGAGGGUGACCUACUCUGGUUUAAAAAUCUGAAUGAUCAGAAACAUUACCCUGGUAACAGGGAUGCUGUUUAGAAACUUGUACUAUAACAGCAUCCCCACUACUGUGAUAAAAGCCUUAAACUGUCUGGGAUUUUAAGCCAGUUACUUGGAUAUGGUUUGGUCACAUCUAUACUAACUAGGAACCUGGCUAGUGUAGUCGUAGCCCAAGUUCUAGAGCCAGAAGCCCUUCUUCUGAUAUUACAAUGGUGUAACUCCACAAAGUUGAAUUGCUCCUGAUUUACACUAGUGAGAUCAGAACCAGGUCCACAAUAUGUCAAAACAAUCCUAUCAAGUCUCAAACAUACAUUUCUGCCACAUACAAAUAGUUCAUGAUGGCUUUGGCAUUCCUCUAAGUAGAGUUACUUAAAUUAAAGACUGAAAAAACAAAUACACUAUCUUGGAACUGAAUGGUAAUUAGUAAGCUACCACUGAAAACAGCCACGAUAAAUAGCUAUUAAAAAGAGCAUUACAAAAAAAAUUCUUAGAAGCCUGCUCUGUAUCGUUACUAUAGGCUAUAAUUAACACUAUAACACAUUGCCAUAAUUUGUUUCCUGGACCUGUAGUAUCUGAGCUCAACAACAUCCAUUGGUGUGAUCUUUCUGGAAGGGCACUUACAAGUAUGCACUCCAGGAUAGCAAUGGGAUUUAGGAAAAGUAGUGCCUGGCACAUUCAUCGAACACAACUGACAAAUGAGAAAUAAAAUCUCAGUUGUGAGAUAAGUCUUUUCUACAACCUUGGCAAGAAGCUCUGAAGAGGCUAAAGGGGUGGAUUAGGAAUCCCCAUGUGUUUAACGGCUAGUCAAGGGAAGAUUUUAGGUUUUAGUUUUUUUUUUUUUUUAAAACUAAUCUCAUCUUCAUAGUCUCUCUGGUAAAGCUGGGAGUCUUAAGCCUCAACCCUCACUGAAAGCUGGAUUUGUUAGAAAUUGUCUUAACGGGAAACAGACUAUGCAGAAUAAACACUGGAAGUAGUAAUACAUAAUGAAUUGUCAAAUGCAUAAUGAAUUAUUUUUUCUGAUCUGCCAAUUGUACAUAACAGUA
Molecule: long non-coding RNA, 1683 nt
Organism: Mauremys reevesii (Reeves's turtle)
Lineage: Eukaryota; Metazoa; Chordata; Testudines; Geoemydidae
Exons: 3
Source: RefSeq, a predicted model, not a curated record